RNAcentral lists this ribosomal RNA (466 nucleotides) under uncultured bacterium. RNAcentral describes it as "bacterial SSU rRNA". It matches the Rfam family "Bacterial small subunit ribosomal RNA", at positions 331 to 794 of the family's 1533-position model. The record is from RNAcentral.
CCAGACUCCUACGGGAGGCAGCAGUGAGGAAUAUUGGUCAAUGGUCGGGAGACUGAACCAGCCAAGCCGCGUGAGGGAUGAAGGUACAGAGUAUCGUAAACCUCUUUUGUCAGGGAACAAAGGCGGGGACGUGUCCCCGGAUGAGUGUACCUGAAGAAAAAGCAUCGGCUAACUCCGUGCCAGCAGCCGCGGUAAUACGGAGGAUGCGAGCGUUAUCCGGAUUUAUUGGGUUUAAAGGGUGCGCAGGCGGUCUGUUCAGCCGGCGGUGAACCCCCGCGCCCACCCCCCGCCCCGCCGUUGAAACUGGCAGUCUCGAGUUGGAGAGAAGUAUGCGGAAUGCGCGGUGUAGCGGUGAAAUGCAUAGAUAUCGCGCAGAACUCCGAUUGCGAAGGCAGCAUGCCGGCUCCACACUGACGCUGAGGCACGAAAGCGUGGGUAUCGAACAGGAUUAGAUACCCGUGUACGU